Molecule: long non-coding RNA, 2174 nt
Filed under: Brassica napus (rape)
Lineage: Eukaryota; Viridiplantae; Streptophyta; Magnoliopsida; Brassicales; Brassicaceae
Description: long non-coding RNA (BNAP_LNC000925)
Source: RNAcentral
CAGGGGGUUUGGUUUCGUUAAUUUCGUGAGCAGAGAAGACGCUCAGCGAGCUAUUAACAAACUGAAUGGUUAUGGUUAUGAUAAUCUCAUCCUCAGGGUUGAGUGGGCCACUCCAAGACCCACCUAGAAAUGUUUUGAGCCCUUCAUAUUUUUGGUCUUUGGAUUAUUGUUUAUCGACCGGUUUGCAUGUUUGCUUAGCUUGGAGAUGUUAUAUUCAUCUUUAAUGCAUGAUGCAUGUUUUGAUUAUUCAAAAGUUUUUGAAUGUUUUGAUCAAUUCUAAUAGGUAUGCAAUAAAAAAUAACAAAGAUGUUCUUGUCCACAUACAAGUGUAACUUGUGUUACUAGAAAUGAAUAAAUAUACAAAAUAAAUAUGCAACCCCCAAAAAAAUGAUUGCCACACUAAACUCGUUGUUAAUAUUUUUAAUGGAACACUUUCAAAAAAUAUGACAAUAUUGUUUUAAUGCCUAGUUGCAUCCUGCACUAACAUAUGAUGAUGUUCAAAAAAGUUUGGAGCCUUUGUCGUCUCUGUUUAUCAAGAAAAUAAUAACUUUAUAGUGGUUAUUCCAUCGAUUUAGGGAGUAUUAUGAAGUUUUACUAAAUUAAUUGAUAAAAACAAUUGAACGAUGCUCAUUUACCAUGAAAAAGAGUUUAGCAUACAUUAAUACAAAUGUAGAAUAUGGUAGAAAUUUUAAAACAACACUAAAGAUUAUAGGCUUCAGUAUAUAAAGUAUUUACCAAAAACUCAAUAUUUUUGUAGGGGUUAGCCCAUAGAUUUUGAGAAAAUUUCAAAAAAUAUGAAUUGGAACAUAAAACUCUAAUUUUUUGUAACAUUUGAUCGUGUUCUGUUUUUUUUGUCUGGUCAUUGUCUGAAUAUGUUCGAGCUUAGUUUAGGACCGAAUAUAAUUCAUUUGUCUGAUACUAUAUGAAUCAUGAAGCUUUUACUCUAGCUACUGGUAAAUUAUUGCUAUUUGCUGAUGAUUUGGGUCAUAAAACUCUAAUCACUUUAGAUUUUUGAACAUUUGAUCGUGUUCUGUUUUUUUGUCUGGUCAUUGUCUGAAUAUGUUCUAGCUUACUUUAGGACCGAAUCUAAUUCACUGUCUAAUACUAUAUGAAUCAUGAAGCUUUUACUCUAGAUUUUUGUAACAUUUUGAUCAUGUUCUGUCUCUUGUCUGGUCAUUGUCUGAAUCCGUUCUAGCUUUAGGACAGAAUCGAAUUCAUUGUCUGAUAUUAUAUGAAUCGUGAAGAUUUUAAUUUUUAGGUUUUUAGUUUAUUAAAAGCUUCACGCUUUUGUUCUGUGAAGUUUCCCCUGUUUUUGUUCUUAGCUUGAUGUAUAAGUUAGGUUAUCCUUUUGAAUGUUAGUUAGGGUAUCUUGAUAAACCUCCUCCAUAUGCGAAUGAUUGUACUUAUAAAGCCCAUCGAAUGUGAUGACGACUGUAUUUUUCUUGAAAUGUUUUGGACUUUACUUUGGUGCUACCAUUAGGAUUUAACGGGUAUUUAAAUAUUUUUAGGUACCAAAGCUGAUGAAUCAAAGGCAGCUGGAGACAGCUUAUCUCAGCUGAGUAAAGGCGGUGCAGUCCUCAUGGUUUGCAGGACAUGCCAUAAGAAAGGUGAUCACUGGACAUCAAAAUGUCCUUACAAGGAUCUAGCUGCACCAGCCGAUGUCUUUACCGACAAGCCACCCACAGGGGAAACAUCUACCGUAUCCGCCGCACCUGGAACUGGCAAGGCGGCUUAUGUCCCGCCCAGCAUGAGAGCUGGUGCGGACAGAAGCGCUGGUGGCUCGGACAUGAGGAGGAGGAACGAUGAGAACUCUGUGCGUGUGACUAACUUGUCUGAAGACACGCGUGAACCGGACUUGAUGGAGCUCUUCCACCCGUUUGGAGCUGUCACGCGUGUCUACGUGGCGAUUGAUCAGAAGACCGGAGUGAGCAGGGGGUUUGGUUUCGUUAAUUUCGUGAGCAGAGAAGACGCUCAGCGAGCUAUUAACAAACUGAAUGGUUAUGGUUAUGAUAAUCUCAUCCUCAGGGUUGAGUGGGCCACUCCAAGACCCACCUAGAAAUGUUUUGAGCCCUUCAUAUUUUUGGUCUUUGGAUUAUUGUUUAUCGACCGGUUUGCAUGUUUGCUUAGCUUGGAGAUGUUAUAUUCAUCUUUAAUGCAUGAUGCAUGUUUUGAUU